AUGAGGUACGGCGAGGUGGCGCACUUCAGCCACCCGCAGCACCGGCUCCGGCUGGAGCAACUGGACACGCCGUUCCGCUGCGACGGCUGCAAGGAGGUUGGCAUCGGCGCGCGUUACCGGUGCCCCGUCCAGGGCUGCGCCGCCGACCACGACCUCCACCGCCAAUGCGCGCUCCCGCUCUCCCCGCCGCCGCCGCCGCUCCGGCACCCGUUCUACCCCAAGUGCGCCUUCCACUUCAUGGCGCGCGCGCCGGGCGCCCCCGGGACGCGCUACUGCAACGCGUGCGGCCGCGACGUCGCCGGCUUCGUCUACCACUGCCGCGCCUGCGGCUUCGACCUGCACCCCUGCUGCGCCACGCUCCCGCACGCCCUCGACGCCAGCGACCGCGGAGGCAGAGUCGGCGUGAGGCUGUACCUGCACCCCAAGGCCGAGGCCGCGUGCCACCGGUGCGGCCACCGCGGGCGGAGCUGGACGUACCGGAGCCACUGCAAGAGCUACAGCCUCCACGUGGCGUGCGUCAUGGACAUGGUCGUCGAGAGCUGGAACGGCAUCGGGCGGAGCAAGGGCGCUAGCGCCGGAGGAAGGGGCGUGUACGACGGCGCGUUGGUGGCGGGGAGCGGCGGGUACAGGGUGCCGGUGAUAAGGGGCGCGGCGAAGAGCAGCCACGCGAGCAGGGGAGGGUCGUACUGGGGGAUGAGGAAGGGCAAGGUGAAGCGCUGCUGCGAGAUCGCCGGGUUCGCGGCGCAGGUGGUCAUCUCCGCGGUGCUCGGUGACCCCACCGCGCUCAUAGCCGGCGUCGUCGGCUCGCUCAUAGCGCGGUGA
This 822-nucleotide ribosomal RNA is filed under the name Triticum aestivum (bread wheat). RNAcentral describes it as "partial small subunit ribosomal RNA". The record is from RNAcentral. Lineage: Eukaryota; Viridiplantae; Streptophyta; Magnoliopsida; Poales; Poaceae.